Molecule: ribosomal RNA, 309 nt
Filed under: uncultured bacterium
Lineage: Bacteria
Description: partial 16S ribosomal RNA
Rfam family: Bacterial small subunit ribosomal RNA
Source: RNAcentral
AGAGACAGCAGCCGCCGCGGUAAUACGAAGGGGGCUAGCGUUGUUCGGAAUUACUGGGCGUAAAGCGCACGUAGGCGGAUAUUUAAGUCAGGGGUGAAAUCCCAGAGCUCAACUCUGGAACUGCCUUUGAUACUGGGUAUCUUGAGUAUGGAAGAGGUGGGUGGAAUUCCGAGUGUAGAGGUGAAAUUCGUAGAUAUUCGGAGGAACACCAGUGGCGAAGGCGGCUCACUGGUCCAUUACUGACGCUGAGGUGCGAAAGCGUGGGGAGCAAACAGGAUUAGAUACCCCCGUAGUCCCUGUCUCUUAUAC